This 497-nucleotide ribosomal RNA is filed under the name uncultured bacterium. RNAcentral describes it as "partial 16S ribosomal RNA". It matches the Rfam family "Bacterial small subunit ribosomal RNA", at positions 28 to 507 of the family's 1533-position model. The record is from RNAcentral.
GAUGAACGCUGGCGGCGUGCCUAAUACAUGCAAGUCGAGCGAACAGACGAUGAGCUUGCUCCUCUGACGUUAGCGGCGGACGGGUGAGUAACACGUGGAUAACCUACCUAUAAUACUGGGAUAACUUCGGGAAACCGGAGCUAAUACCGGAGAAUAUAUUGAACCGCAUGGUUCAAUAGUGAAAGACGGUUUUGCUGUCACUUAUAGCUGGAUCCGCGCCGCAUUAGCUAGUUGGUAAGGUAACGGCUUACCAAGGCGACGAUGCGUAGCCGACCUGAGAGGGUGAUCGGCCACACUGGAACUGAGACACGGUCCAGACUCCUACGGGAGGCAGCAGUAGGGAAUCUUCCGCAAUGGGCGCAAGCCUGACGGAGCAACGCCGCGUGAGUGAUGAAGGUCUUCGGAUCGUAAAGCUCUGUUAUUGGGGAAGAACAAAUGUGUAAGUAAAUACGCACGUCUUGACGGUACCUAAUCAGAAAGCCACGGCUAACUACGUG